Long non-coding RNA from Hippocampus comes (tiger tail seahorse), 644 nucleotides. RefSeq lists it as uncharacterized. NCBI's taxonomy places the organism in Eukaryota, Metazoa, Chordata, Actinopteri, Syngnathiformes, Syngnathidae. The record is from RefSeq and is a predicted model, not a curated record. The transcript is spliced from 2 exons.
UGGGCAGCCUCAUGUACCGGUAGCCGACGCCGUGGCACAGAGACAGGGUGCUCGGUAUGGCCUUGCACACCGAGCGGACCGACGAACUGAAGCCGAGGUGAGUUCCACGGCGCUGGAAGCUCUUUCCUGCCUGCUCCCUCCCCUCUCUCGGCGGGCGUAAAUAAAGGAGAAGGUGUGGAGGAAACUGGAGGGUAAACAAGAGGACAGACGCCUGUUAAUCAUCACCCCCACCCCAAAAGGUUGGGUGACUGACUACUUUUUGUCUGCAGUCAAAAUGUCUGCAAGCUGCUCAACUGUCGUGAUGCAUUCAAGUACAGUACAGUCAAAAGAGUUAUGUGAAUAUGCCAUGAGGAGUUUAAGUUAUUGAUUUAUGGGAACUGGACUUGCUUUGCCAAACAUUACACGAUGUUACAAAGAUAAUUGCUUUAUCUAACUUGGAAUGAAGAGUUACUGUAUUGUUCCUGGAUUUAUUGAUACAGGGUCUUUGUGCAUUGGAUGUAAUGAAAAGCAGCACGGUGACAUUUGAAUUAAAAAAAAUUCAUCCAUGCAUCAGGUGAGCAAGAGUCUAUUUUACUACUGAGUGUGGGCGAGCUGUAGGGUUCAUUGUGGACUGGUCGCCACCAACUGCAAGGCAUGAAAAAAAA